RNAcentral lists this unclassified non-coding RNA (385 nucleotides) under soil metagenome. RNAcentral describes it as "partial contains 5.8S ribosomal RNA, internal transcribed spacer 2, and large subunit ribosomal RNA". The stretch from base 1 to 120 matches the Rfam family "5.8S ribosomal RNA", at positions 35 to 154 of the family's 154-position model. The record is from RNAcentral.
GAUGAAGAACGUAGCGAAAUGCGAUAAGUAAUGUGAAUUGCAGAAUUCAGUGAAUCAUCGAAUCUUUGAACGCAUCUUGCGCUCCUUGGUAUUCCGAGGAGCAUGCCUGUUUGAGUGUCAUUAAAUUCUCAACUCUCCUAUACUUUGUUGUAAAGGAGGGCUUGGAUUGUGGAGGCUUGCUGGCCGCUUGAUGUGGUCAGCUCCUCUGAAAUGCAUUAGCAGAACUGUUUGCGAUCUGCCACAAGUGUGAUAAAUUAUCUACACUGUCGAGGGGAUUGCUCUCUGUGUUCGGCUUCUAAUCGUCUUCAGUGACAAUUUCUUGAAUGCUUGACCUCAAAUCAGGUAGGACUACCCGCUGAACUUAAGCAUAUCAAUAAGCGGAGGA